AUUGAACGCUGGCGGUAGGCCUAACNCAUGCAAGUCGAACGCGAAAGUCCUUCGGGAUGAGUAGAGUGGCGGACGGGUGAGUAACGCGUAGGAAUCUAUCCUGUAGUGGGGGAUAACGUUUCGAAAGGAACGCUAAUACCGCAUACGCCCCAAGGGGGAAAGCGGGGAUCUUCGGACCUCGUGCUAUAGGAGGAGCCUGCGUCGGAUUAGCUAGUUGGUGAGGUAAAGGCUCACCAAGGCGACGAUCCGUAGCUGGUCUGAGAGGAUGAUCAGCCACACCGGAACUGAGACACGGUCCGGACUCCUACGGGAGGCAGCAGUGGGGAAUAUUGCGCAAUGGGCGAAAGCCUGACGCAGCCAAUACCGCGUGUGUGAAGAAGGCCUCGG
RNAcentral lists this ribosomal RNA (387 nucleotides) under uncultured bacterium. RNAcentral describes it as "bacterial SSU rRNA". It matches the Rfam family "Bacterial small subunit ribosomal RNA", at positions 30 to 420 of the family's 1533-position model. The record is from RNAcentral.